This 545-nucleotide ribosomal RNA is filed under the name uncultured bacterium. Its description in RNAcentral is "bacterial SSU rRNA". It matches the Rfam family "Bacterial small subunit ribosomal RNA", at positions 544 to 1088 of the family's 1533-position model. The record is from RNAcentral.
UCCGGAUUUAUUGGGCGUAAAGGGCUCGUAGGCGGCUCGUCGCGUCCGGUGUGAAAGUCCAUCGCUUAACGGUGGAUCUGCGCCGGGUACGGGCGGGCUGGAGUGCGGUAGGGGAGACUGGAAUUCCCGGUGUAACGGUGGAAUGUGUAGAUAUCGGGAAGAACACCGAUGGCGAAGGCAGGUCUCUGGGCCGUCACUGACGCUGAGGAGCGAAAGCGUGGGGAGCGAACAGGAUUAGAUACCCUGGUAGUCCACGCCGUAAACGGUGGACGCUGGAUGUGGGGCACGUUCCACGUGUUCCGUGUCGGAGCUAACGCGUUAAGCGUCCCGCCUGGGGAGUACGGCCGCAAGGCUAAAACUCAAAGAAAUUGACGGGGGCCCGCACAAGCGGCGGAGCAUGCGGAUUAAUUCGAUGCAACGUGAAGAACCUUACCUGGGCUUGACAUGUUCCCGACGACGCCAGAGAUGGCGUUUCCCUUCGGGGCGGGUUCACAGGUGGUGCAUGGUCGUCGUCAGCUCGUGUCUGAGAUGUUGGGUUAAGUCCC